Molecule: non-coding RNA, 751 nt
Organism: Gasterosteus aculeatus aculeatus (three-spined stickleback)
Lineage: Eukaryota; Metazoa; Chordata; Actinopteri; Perciformes; Gasterosteidae
Source: RefSeq, a predicted model, not a curated record
GUCGGACGUCGUCCUAGAUAGCGUUCUCGUUUUCAGGCUCUGCUGUUGGUCUCACCAGAGAGGCCUUCAGACGACAAAGAGGGAGCUUCUGACUGGAAACUGGAGACGGAGAUGUUCCGCGUGGAAGGUGGGAUCGCAUUCCGCACGAUAUCGGAGCGGACGGGUAACUUCUUCACAAACAACUCAAACACAGAAGACACGGAAUUCAAAGUUCAACAGUUGUUCCCUUUGGUACCAGAUUGAUGCAUCACGACAUAAAACAGCUCCAGCGAUCGGGACGUGAUGAAGGUUUACGUUAUUAUAUUUUCCACAUUUGGAAAUUAUCAUUGGCCUGGAAAAUGAACACGACGCAUCCACAAGUAACCGUUGGUAAGGUCCUCUCUGUGAGCUUAAAUGUUAGUUUACAUUCAAUUCAGACUUAAAGAUUUGGCCAAAAUAUGAGUUCCUAUUGUUGCAAGCGGUUUGUCGAAAAGUUUACAAUUGUAUAUUAUUUUAAAUGUGAAACAUAACAAACAUGAGAGGAAAAUGAGAUGAAAUAAUACACAUUAGUUAUUGAAUGGAACAUGACUCAAAUGAAUAAACUUACCUUACCUGAACUGAAUAAUGAAAAGUUCAAACAUUUUAACGUUCUUUGCCGUGCAAAGCUCUUUAUUUAUUUCUCACGCGGCUGAAGAUCUGCUUACCUUCACGGAGGGAUUGCAAUCUGUCAGACGCGUGCAGAGAGAACCGAGGAGCCUUUUCGUCAGCGUUU